UGGGGAAUAUUGGACAAUGGGCGAAAGCCUGAUCCAGCAAUGCCGCGUGGGUGAAGAAGGUCUUCGGAUUGUAAAGCCCUUUCGGCGGGGACGAUGAUGACGGUACCCGCAGAAGAAGCUCCGGCUAACUUCGUGCCAGCAGCCGCGGUAAUACGAAGGGGGCUAGCGUUGCUCGGAAUGACUGGGCGUAAAGGGCGCGUAGGCGGUUUAGUGAGUUGGGCGUGAAAUUCCCGGGCUUAACCUGGGGGCUGCGUUCGAUACCACUAGGCUUGAGUGUGGAAGAGGGUCGUGGAAUUCCCAGUGUAGAGGUGAAAUUCGUAGAUAUUGGGAAGAACACCGGUGGCGAAGGCGGCGACCUGGUCCAUUACUGACGCUGAGGCGCGAAAGCGUGGGGAGCAAACAGGAUUAGAUACCCUGGUAGUCCACGCUGUAAAACGAUGUGUGCUGGGUGUUGGGUAACCUAGUUACUCAGUGUCGUAGCUAACGCGGUAAGCACACCGCCUGGGAGUACGGCCG
Molecule: ribosomal RNA, 516 nt
Filed under: uncultured bacterium
Lineage: Bacteria
Description: partial 16S ribosomal RNA
Rfam family: Bacterial small subunit ribosomal RNA
Source: RNAcentral